This 261-nucleotide unclassified non-coding RNA is filed under the name Hevea brasiliensis (rubber tree). Lineage: Eukaryota; Viridiplantae; Streptophyta; Magnoliopsida; Malpighiales; Euphorbiaceae. The record is from RNAcentral.
AGAAAGUAGCCCCUGCGGUGAAUAUAGUGAAGGAGGGGCUGUUACCUUGUCACAGCUGCACCUUAUUGAUUUGGCAGGUUCUGAGAGCUCAAAGGCUGAAACCACCGGUGUACGCCGAAAGGAGGGAUCUUACAUCAACAAAAGCCUACUGACUCUUGGAACUGUUAUUUCUAAGUUAACUGAUGGGAAAGCUACUCAUAUACCAUAUAGAGAUUCAAAAUUGACCAGGCUUCUUCAAUCAUCAUUAAGUGGUCAAGGACG